Long non-coding RNA from Mytilus californianus (California mussel), 1009 nucleotides. RefSeq lists it as uncharacterized. The record is from RefSeq and is a predicted model, not a curated record. The transcript is spliced from 2 exons. Lineage: Eukaryota; Metazoa; Mollusca; Bivalvia; Mytilida; Mytilidae.
AAAUUUCUUGUUUCUAGAUAUAGAUAGAUUUGAAAUCUUUAGUUAAACUACUGUAGAAUAUGUCAGCAACUGUAUAUUGUAGGAUAAUGAAAGCCAAGACAUGAAAUAUACAUUACAUAUAUAUGUUUUAAACAGUACACACAAAAAAACACCAAAUUAGUUGUCAUUGAUUUUAAUUUUUGGAAUUCAGGUAUAAUUUAGGUCAAUACAUACUCGUGAAGUAUGGUGUUAAUUCACUCCCAGCUCUCGUAAGUACCAAGUUGGUUACAGUUUAUUUUUAUAAUUCUUUAUUUUUGUUGCAUUGCAUUUUUUUACCACAUAAGACACUACAGUUGGCUUAUUUGAAAGUAACUUCUAUACCUUUUUGAAUAAAAAUGUUUAGAUAUAUGCUUUGUGAAAAUACCACAAAUUAAACCAUGUUGCCAAAAGUUGCCAAAUGUUGAGUUUAAUCUUAAAAGCCUAAAGUUAUAUUAUCGCUAUUUUGUUCAUUUUUCCUUUGAUGUUCAGAACUGUAAAGGUUCAUAUCACAGCUUUUCUCACUUUAGGCGUAAAUGGUUCGAGCUAGAAAAUCAAUCUCAUGAAGAAGACCAGCAAUAAUAUAUAUUUAUCAAACUGGUACAAGUUGCUGUUCAUAGAUCUUUAUUUGAAUUCUUCACAGCUCAAAGAGUCAGAUGUAUACAGGAAUACACAUGAUGUUGUUUUGAAAUAGUAUCAAAAUCUCCCUUUUCAUCCUUAUAAGCAAGCAAACAUGUAAUAUAUUUUAUCUUGGUUUUUCAUGUCGUUGACUGGCCUUGGGUGCAAUAUUUCUCAGAUUGUAAAAAAGGGCCAGUAAUGUGUGGAAAAUUGAUGACAUCCGGUAUACAAUUACUGAGAAAGAUGUUGUUAAAAGAUUGGCAGCACCACAUAUCCAGAUGUGUGGGCGCUGCCUUUGUUACACAUUCGUUGAUUUGUAGGAUGGGCAGUGAAGACACAGUUUUGAUUUUGAAAACAAAUAAAUCUAUGGAAUAUU